UACGGAGGGAGCUAGCGUUGUUCGGAAUUACUGGGCGUAAAGCGCACGUAGGCGGCUUUUUAAGUCAGGGGUGAAAUCCCGGGGCUCAACCCCGGAACUGCCCUUGAAACUGGAGAGCUAGAAUCUUGGAGAGGCGAGUGGAAUUCCGAGUGUAGAGGUGAAAUUCGUAGAUAUUCGGAAGAACACCAGUGGCGAAGGCGACUCGCUGGACAAGUAUUGACGCUGAGGUGCGAAAGCGUGGGGAACAAACAGG
RNAcentral lists this ribosomal RNA (253 nucleotides) under uncultured bacterium. Its description in RNAcentral is "partial 16S ribosomal RNA". It matches the Rfam family "Bacterial small subunit ribosomal RNA", at positions 524 to 776 of the family's 1533-position model. The record is from RNAcentral.